UUACGGCCAUAACAGGUUGAAACACCAAUUCCCGUACGAUCACUGAAGUCAAGCAACGUCGAUCCUGGUCAGUAUCUAGUCGGGUGACUGCUUCGGAAUAUCAGGUGUUGUAAG
Molecule: non-coding RNA, 114 nt
Organism: Acanthosepion pharaonis
Lineage: Eukaryota; Metazoa; Mollusca; Cephalopoda; Sepiida; Sepiidae
Source: the annotation of a GenBank genome assembly